GCAUAGCUCAGUUGGUUAGAGCGUCGGAUUGUGGUUCCGAAGGUCGAGGGUUCGAGACCCUCUGUU
This 66-nucleotide transfer RNA is filed under the name human gut metagenome. It matches the Rfam family "tRNA", at positions 6 to 65 of the family's 71-position model. From Rfam's summary of the family: Transfer RNA (tRNA) molecules are approximately 80 nucleotides in length. Their secondary structure includes four short double-helical elements and three loops (D, anti-codon, and T loops). Further hydrogen bonds mediate the characteristic L-shaped molecular structure. tRNAs have two regions of fundamental functional importance: the anti-codon, which is responsible for specific mRNA codon recognition, and the 3' end, to which the tRNAs corresponding amino acid is attached (by aminoacyl-tRNA synthetases). tRNAs cope with the degeneracy of the genetic code in two manners: having more than one tRNA (with a specific anti-codon) for a particular amino acid; and 'wobble' base-pairing, i.e. permitting non-standard base-pairing at the 3rd anti-codon position. The record is from RNAcentral. RNAcentral also lists the same sequence under 2 other names.